AGUGAACGCUGGCGGUAGGCCUAACACAUGCAAGUCGAACGGCAGCACAGUAAGAGCUUGCUCUUACGGGUGGCGAGUGGCGGACGGGUGAGGAAUACAUCGGAAUCUACUUUUUCGUGGGGGAUAACGUAGGGAAACUUACGCUAAUACCGCAUACGACCUACGGGUGAAAGCAGGGGAUCUUCGGACCUUGCGCGAUUGAAUGAGCCGAUGUCGGAUUAGCUAGUUGGCGGGGUAAAGGCCCACCAAGGCGACGAUCCGUAGCUGGUCUGAGAGGAUGAUCAGCCACACUGGAACUGAGACACGGUCCAGACUCCUACGGGAGGCAGCAGUGGGGAAUAUUGGACAAUGGGCGCAAGCCUGAUCCAGCCAUACCGCGUGGGUGAAGAAGGCCUUCGGGUUGUAAAGCCCUUUUGUUGGGAAAGAAAAGCAGCAGGUUAAUACCCCGCUGUUCUGACGGUACCCAAAGAAUAAACACCGGCUAACUACGU
RNAcentral lists this ribosomal RNA (491 nucleotides) under uncultured bacterium. RNAcentral describes it as "partial 16S ribosomal RNA". It matches the Rfam family "Bacterial small subunit ribosomal RNA", at positions 29 to 506 of the family's 1533-position model. The record is from RNAcentral.